UACGUAGGGGGCAAGCGUUAUCCGGAAUUACUGGGUGUAAAGGGUGCGCAGGUGGUAUGGCAAGUCAGAAGUGAAAACCCAGGGCUUAACUCUGGGACUGCUUUUGAAACUGUCAGACUGGAGUGCAGGAGAGGUAAGCGGAAUUCCUAGUGUAGCGGUGAAAUGCGUAGAUAUUAGGAGGAACAUCAGUGGCGAAGGCGGCUUACUGGACUGAAACUGACACUGAGGCACGAAAGCGUGGGGAGCAAACAGG
Molecule: ribosomal RNA, 253 nt
Filed under: Anaerostipes hadrus ATCC 29173 = JCM 17467
Lineage: Bacteria; Bacillati; Bacillota; Clostridia; Lachnospirales; Lachnospiraceae
Description: Anaerostipes hadrus DSM 3319 partial 16S ribosomal RNA
Rfam family: Bacterial small subunit ribosomal RNA
Source: RNAcentral